Non-coding RNA from Macaca mulatta (Rhesus monkey), 3092 nucleotides. The record is from RefSeq and is a predicted model, not a curated record. Lineage: Eukaryota; Metazoa; Chordata; Mammalia; Primates; Cercopithecidae.
AAAUUACCAUUCUCAAGUAAGGAUAAUGUAGACGUCAGGUCAUUUAUAGUCUCAAAGAUUUGUCAGUAUACUUUAAAACAAUCCUGGGAACAGUUCUAUAUUGAAGGAGACUGAAAAAUCAUGAGCACUAGGUGGCGCUGGGGCUGGCAAGCACGUGGCAGAGGCGGUGCCGACGGGGGCUGCUGAGGCGGGCAGAGGGUUGGCGGCGCCUGGAAGCCUGUCACUGGCACGGUCCCUGUGGGGUGCUCGGCAACGGGCAUGUCGGUGGUGGGGCUGAAGAACCAUUUCUACAAGGCAAGCCAGCUGGUCAGUGAGAAGGUGGGAGGGGCUGAGGGGACCAAGCUGGAUGAUGACUUCAAAGAGAUGGAGAAGAAGGUGGAUGUCACCAGCAAGGCAGUGACGGAAGUGCUGGCCAGGACCAUCAAGUACCUGCAGCCCAACCCAAACCUCGCAGGUAAGCUGACCAUGCUCAACAUGGUGUCCGAGAUCCGGGGCCAGGUGAAGAACCCCAGCUAUCUGCAGUUGGAGGGGCUCCUGAGCGAGUGCCUGAUCUGCCACCUGAAGGAGCUGGGCGGUGAGUCCAACUUUGGUGACACACUGCUGGAUGUCGGCGAGUCCAUGAAGCACCUGGUGGAGGUGAAGGACUCCCUGGACAUAGAGGUCAAACAGAACUUCAUUGACCCCCUCCAGAACCUGUGCGAGAACAACCUGAAGGAGAUCCAGCACCACCAGUUGGAGGGCCGCCGCCUGGACUUUAACUAAAAGAAGAAGUGGCAGGGCAAGAUCCCCAAUGAGGAGCUGCGCCAGGUGCUGGAGGAGUUUGAGGAGUCCAAGGAGGUGGCAGAAACCAGCAUGCACAACCUCCUGGAGACCAAUAUCAAGCAGGUGAGUCAGCUCUCAACCCUGGUGGAGGCGCAGCUGGACUGCUACCAGCGGGCCAUGCAGAUCCCGGACAAGCUGGCAGAGAAGCCCAAGCGCAGAAUGCAGGAAGCUUCCUCAGGCUCCAAGCGGCAGUAUAAGCCCAAGUCCCGGGAGCCCUUUGACCUCGGAGAGCCUGAGCAGUCCAACGGGGGCUUCCCCAGCACCACAGUCCCCAAGAUCGCAGCUUCGUCUUUCCGAUCUUCCGACAAGCCCAUCUGGACUCCUAGCAGGAGCAUGCUGCCCCUAGACGAGCGGAGCUGCAAGGUGCUGUACAACUUCGAACCCUAGAACCAUGGGGAGCUGGGCUUCCAUGAGGGUGACGUCAUCACCUUGACCAACCAGAUCAACUACAACUGGUAUAGGGCAUGCUGGAUGGCCAGUCCGGCUUCUUCCUGCUCAGCUACAUGGACACGCUCGUGCCCCUGCUGCAGUGACUCGCCAGUGCCCCGCCCCUCUGUCCACACUGGGCGGCACCCCCUGCCGGGUCUUCUGCCUUCCACCGGGCUCCUACUGCUAGGAUGGUAUCCGAGCCUGCCGGUGCCACCCAGUCCCAGGUCCUCGAGGUACUCCCUGAGCAGGGAGCCACACUUGGGUGGGGGGCUUAUCUGGGUGGGUGGGGACGCCUGUUUACACUGGCGCUGACCCCCAACGGUGACAGCUCCCUUCCCUACUCCAUUGCGCCAGCCUCCUCCCUGCUCCCCAACUCCUUGCCCAGCUGGCCGAGGCGGGGCUAACCCUAAGGUGCUCUCACAAACACUAAUGUUCCACCGCGGCAGCACCCACCUCCAUCCUGACCCCACAGGGACCCGGCCCACUGCCUGCCCUCGAGUCCUGUGGCCUUAACAGGAUAACAUCGAGCGUCCCCGUGGGGUGGCUCAGAGACAGGACCUUGGUUUUAAAUCCUGUCCCAGCCUGGUGCUGGAGAUGGGCCCUGGCCCCACUCCAGGGCCACUGCACCCCUACCUCACACAUGCACUCCUUCUCCCCAAGGCCAGGGCAGAGGGCCUCACUGCUUCCCCUGCCUGCUGUCAGCUUGCAGCCCGGGGACAGAGGCCAGCUGGGAUCUGCCCCAGGACAGAGAACAUAGCCUCCUUCAGAGCCCCGCCUCCAAAGCCCCUCCCUCACAAAGCCAAGUACCUUUUCAGCUUUUCAACUGCCCCCAGCCAGGGCCACGGAGGCCUGUGUCACUCUGGCACAAGCUGCCACCACCAACCACCCACAUACACCCCAGCACACUUCGCACGGGACCACAGCCCCAGCCAUGCUGUUGAGGGCCAAGCACAAAGGCUCCAGUGAGCAAAUGUUAAAGCUCCUGGUGGCCAGGCCUCCACUUUCCCAGCCGCUACCACCCCACUCUGUGGGAAGUGGCCCUGACCAUCUCCUCUAGGCCACAGCAGGCAGCCUCGGGGUCUCCAGACCCCUGCCCAGACCAGCAGGUCCGCAGCCCCAACAUCUGCUUCCUCUGUCACCCGAUCCAAAAUCGAUGAAAUGGGGGGUCCUCUGGACUGGGCCACAUUCACAUUCCUCUCCCACUGUGGCCCAGCCUGAAGCCUCUGGACCCCAGACUCUGCUCUGCACCCACCUUGUCAGCAGUACAUGAAGGGCACAGACACCCUGGCAGAGAUGAGCACACAGCCUUGGACACGGUCCAGGGCAAAGUGAAAUGUGUGCCUGAAUUUUGUAAACAGAAGUAUUAAAUGUCUUUCUACAAAAAGAAAAAAAAAAUCAUGAACACUAAAUGUAAUGUCUGAUGUUUGGUGAUGUUUAAUUGGAUUCUUAACUUUUUAAGCCAUGAUAUGAUUAGGACAAUUGUGAAAAUGUGUAUAUGGACUACAUAGUAGACAAUGAUAAUAUUAAGUUCCAUUGGGUGAUGAUAGUAUUCUGGUUAUGUAGGAGAAUGCCUUGGUUCUUAGGGGCUGCACACUGAAGUCUUUAAUGGUGAAGGGUCAUUAUGUCUGCAACUGACUCUCAAAUGGCUUGUCCAGAAAAUGUAUAGAGAUACACACAUGGAAAGCAAAUGUGGCAAAGUAUUAGCAACUGUUGAUUCUAGAUGAAAGUUAUACAGGUGUUCAUUAGACCAUUUGAAAAUGCUUCCCAGCCAUCCUAAGGCUUAAAGAAAAAAGAAGAAAAUGUUUAAAAUCAAAAGUUGGGGGCAGGAAAAGAAUAACAAA